RNAcentral lists this ribosomal RNA (2987 nucleotides) under Salmonella enterica subsp. enterica serovar Typhimurium str. DT104. RNAcentral describes it as "bacterial LSU rRNA". It matches the Rfam family "Bacterial large subunit ribosomal RNA". The record is from RNAcentral. Lineage: Bacteria; Pseudomonadati; Pseudomonadota; Gammaproteobacteria; Enterobacterales; Enterobacteriaceae.
UUAAGCGACUAAGCGUACACGGUGGAUGCCCUGGCAGUCAGAGGCGAUGAAGGGCGUGCUAAUCUGCGAUAAGCGCCGGUAAGGUGAUAUGAACCGUUAUAACCGGCGAUACCCGAAUGGGGAAACCCAGUGUGAUUCGUCACACUAUCAUUAACUGAAUCCAUAGGUUAAUGAGGCGAACCGGGGGAACUGAAACAUCUAAGUACCCCGAGGAAAAGAAAUCAACCGAGAUUCCCCCAGUAGCGGCGAGCGAACGGGGAGGAGCCCAGAGCCUGAAUCAGCAUGUGUGUUAGUGGAAGCGUCUGGAAAGGCGCGCGAUACAGGGUGACAGCCCCGUACACAAAAGCGCAUGUGCUGUGAGCUCGAUGAGUAGGGCGGGACACGUGGUAUCCUGUCUGAAUAUGGGGGGACCAUCCUCCAAGGCUAAAUACUCCUGACUGACCGAUAGUGAACCAGUACCGUGAGGGAAAGGCGAAAAGAACCCCGGCGAGGGGAGUGAAAAAGAACCUGAAACCGUGUACGUACAAGCAGUGGGAGCACNNNNNNNGUGUGACUGCGUACCUUUUGUAUAAUGGGUCAGCGACUUAUAUUCUGUAGCAAGGUUAACCGUAUAGGGGAGCCGGAGGGAAACCGAGUCUUAACCGGGCGUUAAGUUGCAGGGUAUAGACCCGAAACCCGGUGAUCUAGCCAUGGGCAGGUUGAAGGUUGGGUAACACUAACUGGAGGACCGAACCGACUAAUGUUGAAAAAUUAGCGGAUGACCUGUGGCUGGGGGUGAAAGGCCAAUCAAACCGGGAGAUAGCUGGUUCUCCCCGAAAGCUAUUUAGGUAGCGCCUCGUGAAUUCAUCUCCGGGGGUAGAGCACUGUUUCGGCUAGGGGGCCAUCCCGGCUUACCAACCCGAUGCAAACUGCGAAUACCGGAGAAUGUUAUCACGGGAGACACACGGCGGGUGCUAACGUCCGUCGUGAAGAGGGAAACAACCCAGACCGCCAGCUAAGGUCCCAAAGUCAUGGUUAAGUGGGAAACGAUGUGGGAAGGCCCAGACAGCCAGGAUGUUGGCUUAGAAGCAGCCAUCAUUUAAAGAAAGCGUAAUAGCUCACUGGUCGAGUCGGCCUGCGCGGAAGAUGUAACGGGGCUAAACCAUGCACCGAAGCUGCGGCAGCGAACGUAUCACCCAAGACAACUUUACGGAGUUGACGAUUGACGGAGCGAAGCGACGUCAAAGCGUUCAUUAAAGUCGAGUUGGCUUAGGGAUACGUUCGUUGGGUAGGGGAGCGUUCUGUAAGCCUGUGAAGGUGUGUCGUGAGGCAUGCUGGAGGUAUCAGAAGUGCGAAUGCUGACAUAAGUAACGAUAAAGCGGGUGAAAAGCCCGCUCGCCGGAAGACCAAGGGUUCCUGUCCAACGUUAAUCGGGGCAGGGUGAGUCGACCCCUAAGGCGAGGCCGAAAGGCGUAGUCGAUGGGAAACGGGUUAAUAUUCCCGUACUUGGUGUUACUGCGAAGGGGGGACGGAGAAGGCUAUGUUGGCCGGGCGACGGUUGUCCCGGUUUAAGCGUGUAGGUGUGUGUUCCAGGUAAAUCCGGUUCACUUUAACACUGAGGCGUGACGACGAGGCACUACGGUGCUGAAGCAACAAAUGCCCUGCUUCCAGGAAAAGCCUCUAAGCAUCAGGUAACACGAAAUCGUACCCCAAACCGACACAGGUGGUCAGGUAGAGAAUACCAAGGCGCUUGAGAGAACUCGGGUGAAGGAACUAGGCAAAAUGGUGCCGUAACUUCGGGAGAAGGCACGCUGACACGUAGGUGAAGUGAUUUACUCAUGGAGCUGAAGUCAGUCGAAGAUACCAGCUGGCUGCAACUGUUUAUUAAAAACACAGCACUGUGCAAACACGAAAGUGGACGUAUACGGUGUGACGCCUGCCCGGUGCCGGAAGGUUAAUUGAUGGGGUCAGCGUAAGCGAAGCUCCUGAUCGAAGCCCCGGUAAACGGCGGCCGUAACUAUAACGGUCCUAAGGUAGCGAAAUUCCUUGUCGGGUAAGUUCCGACCUGCACGAAUGGCGUAAUGAUGGCCAGGCUGUCUCCACCCGAGACUCAGUGAAAUUGAACUCGCUGUGAAGAUGCAGUGUACCCGCGGCAAGACGGAAAGACCCCGUGAACCUUUACUAUAGCUUGACACUGAACAUUGAGCCUUGAUGUGUAGGAUAGGUGGGAGGCUUUGAAGUGUGGACGCCAGUCUGCAUGGAGCCGACCUUGAAAUACCACCCUUUAAUGUUUGAUGUUCUAACGUGGACCCGUAAUCCGGGUUGCGGACAGUGUCUGGUGGGUAGUUUGACUGGGGCGGUCUCCUCCUAAAGAGUAACGGAGGAGCACGAAGGUUGGCUAAUCCUGGUCGGACAUCAGGAGGUUAGUGCAAUGGCAUAAGCCAGCUUGACUGCGAGCGUGACGGCGCGAGCAGGUGCGAAAGCAGGUCAUAGUGAUCCGGUGGUUCUGAAUGGAAGGGCCAUCGCUCAACGGAUAAAAGGUACUCCGGGGAUAACAGGCUGAUACCGCCCAAGAGUUCAUAUCGACGGCGGUGUUUGGCACCUCGAUGUCGGCUCAUCACAUCCUGGGGCUGAAGUAGGUCCCAAGGGUAUGGCUGUUCGCCAUUUAAAGUGGUACGCGAGCUGGGUUUAGAACGUCGUGAGACAGUUCGGUCCCUAUCUGCCGUGGGCGCUGGAGAACUGAGGGGGGCUGCUCCUAGUACGAGAGGACCGGAGUGGACGCAUCACUGGUGUUCGGGUUGUCAUGCCAAUGGCACUGCCCGGUAGCUAAAUGCGGAAGAGAUAAGUGCUGAAAGCAUCUAAGCACGAAACUUGCCCCGAGAUGAGUUCUCCCUGAGACUUAGAGUCUCCUGAAGGAACGUUGAAGACGACGACGUUGAUAGGCCGGGUGUGUAAGCGCAGCGAUGCGUUGAGCUAACCGGUACUAAUGAACCGUGAGGCUUAACCUU